RNAcentral lists this ribosomal RNA (497 nucleotides) under uncultured bacterium. RNAcentral describes it as "partial 16S ribosomal RNA". It matches the Rfam family "Bacterial small subunit ribosomal RNA", at positions 28 to 507 of the family's 1533-position model. The record is from RNAcentral.
GAUGAACGCUGGCGGCGUGCCUAAUACAUGCAAGUCGAGCGAACGGACGAGAAUCUUGCUUCUCUGAUGUUAGCGGCGGACGGGUGAGUAACACGUGGAUAACCUACCUAUAAGACUGGGAUAACUGCGGGAAACCGUAGCUAAUACCGGAUAAUAUUUUGAACCGCAUGGUUCAAAAGUGAAAGACGGUCUUGCUGUCACUUAUAGAUGGAUCCGCGCUGCAUUAGCUAGUUGGUAAGGUAACGGUUUACCAAGGCAACGAUGCAUAGCCGACCUGAGAGGGUGAUCGGCGACACUGGAACUGAGACACGGUCCAGACUCCUACGGGAGGCAGCAGUAGGGAAUCUUCCGAAAUGGGCGAAAGCCUGACGGAGCAACGCCGCGUGAGUGAUGAAGGUCUUCGGAUCGUAAAACUCUGUUAUUAGGGAAGAACAUAUGUGUAAGUAACUGUGCACAUCUUGACGGUACCUAAACAGAAAGCCACGGCUAACUACGUG